Molecule: small nuclear RNA, 104 nt
Filed under: Myotis brandtii (Brandt's bat)
Lineage: Eukaryota; Metazoa; Chordata; Mammalia; Chiroptera; Vespertilionidae
Source: RNAcentral
GUGCUCGCUUCGGCAGCACAUAUACUAAAAUUGAAACGAUACAGAGAUUAGCAUGGCCCCUGCAUAAGGAUGACUCGCAAAUUCGUGAAGCAUUCCAUAUUAAA